Molecule: ribosomal RNA, 318 nt
Filed under: uncultured microorganism
Description: bacterial SSU rRNA
Rfam family: Archaeal small subunit ribosomal RNA
Source: RNAcentral
GCGCAGCAGGCGCGAAACCUCCGCAAUACACGAAAGUGUGACGGGGCCAUCCCGAGUGCCGUCCGCUGAGGACGGCUUUUCCCCAGUGUACACAGCUGGGGGAAUAAGGAGAGGGCAAGCCUGGUGUCAGCCGCCGCGGUAAUACCUGCUCUCCGAGUGAUGGGGACGCUUAUUGGGCCUAAAGCAUCCGUAGCCGGCUGGGCAAGUCCUCCGUUAAAUCCAACGAUUCAAUCGUUGGGCUGCGGGGGAUACUGUCCAGCGUUGGGGGGCGGGAGAGGCCGACGGUAGUUCCCGGGGUAGGGGUGAAAAGUCCUAUAA